AGUCACUGACAUUAGAUACCCCGGUAGUCCUAGGCGUAAUGAUGCGAGUUAAGUNUGGGGGCAUCUACGAGAUGGCCCUGUGCUGUAGGGUAGCCGUUAAACUCGCUGCCUGGGGAGUACGGUCGCAAGGCUGAAACUUAAAGGAAUUGGCGGGGAGCACCACAACGCGUGGAGCCUGCGGUUUAAUUGGAUUCAACGCCGGACAUCUCACCAGGGCGACAGCAGAAUGAUGGCCAGGUUGAUGACCUUGCUUGACAAGCUG
This 262-nucleotide ribosomal RNA is filed under the name uncultured archaeon. RNAcentral's name for it is "partial 16S ribosomal RNA". It matches the Rfam family "Archaeal small subunit ribosomal RNA", at positions 718 to 982 of the family's 1478-position model. The record is from RNAcentral.